This 254-nucleotide ribosomal RNA is filed under the name uncultured bacterium. Its description in RNAcentral is "partial 16S ribosomal RNA". It matches the Rfam family "Bacterial small subunit ribosomal RNA", at positions 524 to 776 of the family's 1533-position model. The record is from RNAcentral.
GACGUAGGGUGCGAGCGUUGUCCGGAUUUAUUGGGCGUAAAGAGCUCGUAGGUGGUUCGGUAAGUCGGGUGUUAAACCCCCAGGCUCAACCUGGGGACGCCACUCGAUACUGCUGUGACUUGAGUCCGGUAGGGGAGCGUGGAAUUCCUGGUGUAGCGGUGAAAUGCGCAGAUAUCAGGAGGAACACCGGUGGCGAAGGCGGGUCUCUGGGCCGAAACUGACGCUGAGGAGCGAAAGCGUGGGGAGCAAACAGG